UGGCUCUUUGCUUGUGCAACAACUUCCACCUGACAUACCUUUUCAGUKGUCUGUUAAGGCUUAUAGUUGCCUAAACAAAUUGUCGGUUUCCUGUGUUGCCUACCUGACGUAUGGUAUUGUCUUGGCUGAUUCAAGUUCUUUUCAUCUUGUAUCAUACUUAUGACAUCAGAUGAACCUUAUAGCUGUCUCUUUGAACCACACCAUUAAUUUGUGUGUUGUUGUAGUGGUGCAUUGAGCAUUGCUUGGUUUCUUUAAUAUAGAACCUGAUUUGGGCAUUAUGUCCUCAUUUAGUGCUUAUGCUUCUCAAAAAUGACUGCUUUACCCGCAUUGGCUCGUACCAGCGUGUUGAGUUUUGUCAAAGAGGAAAGUUACCUGGUUGAUCCUGCCAGUAGUCAUAUGCUUGUCUCAAAGAUUAAGCCA
RNAcentral lists this unclassified non-coding RNA (420 nucleotides) under Kyrsteniopsis nelsonii. RNAcentral's name for it is "partial contains external transcribed spacer and 18S ribosomal RNA". The record is from RNAcentral. Lineage: Eukaryota; Viridiplantae; Streptophyta; Magnoliopsida; Asterales; Asteraceae.